UACGUAGGGUGCAAGCGUUGUCCGGAAUUAUUGGGCGUAAAGAGCUCGUAGGCGGUUUGUCGCGUCUGCUGUGAAAACCCGAGGCUCAACCUCGGGCCUGCAGUGGGUACGGGCAGACUAGAGUGCGGCAGGGGAGAUUGGAAUUCCUGGUGUAGCGGUGGAAUGCGCAGAUAUCAGGAGGAACACCAAUGGCGAAGGCAGAUCUCUGGGCCGUAACUGACGCUGAGGAGCGAAAGCAUGGGGAGCGAACAGG
Molecule: ribosomal RNA, 253 nt
Filed under: uncultured bacterium
Lineage: Bacteria
Description: partial 16S ribosomal RNA
Rfam family: Bacterial small subunit ribosomal RNA
Source: RNAcentral